GAUUGAACGCUGGCGGCAGGCCUAACACAUGCAAGUCGAGCGGAUGAAGGGAGCUUGCUCCUGGAUUCAGCGGCGGACGGGUGAGUAAUGCCUAGGAAUCUGCCUGGUAGUGGGGGAUAACGUCCGGAAACGGGCGCUAAUACCGCAUACGUCCUGAGGGAGAAAGUGGGGGAUCUUCGGACCUCACGCUAUCAGAUGAGCCUAGGUCGGAUUAGCUAGUUGGUGGGGUAAAGGCCUACCAAGGCGACGAUCCGUAACUGGUCUGAGAGGAUGAUCAGUCACACUGGAACUGAGACACGGUCCAGACUCCUACGGGAGGCAGCAGUGGGGAAUAUUGGACAAUGGGCGAAAGCCUGAUCCAGCCAUACCGCGUGUGUGAAGAAGGUCUUCGGAUUGUAAAGCACUUUAAGUUGGGAGGAAGGGCAGUAAGUUAAUACCUUGCUGUUUUGACGUUACCAACAGAAUAAGCACCGGCUAACUUCGUG
RNAcentral lists this ribosomal RNA (485 nucleotides) under uncultured bacterium. Its description in RNAcentral is "partial 16S ribosomal RNA". It matches the Rfam family "Bacterial small subunit ribosomal RNA", at positions 27 to 507 of the family's 1533-position model. The record is from RNAcentral.